CUCCAAACUCUGCAGACCACCUAAACAACAAAAUAACUAAAAAUUAACAAAGCAUUUAAAUGGAGUGCCACAGAACAGUCACUAAAUGUCUUUAUAGCGUAGUCACGUCCACACUCCACAGUCCACAGUUCCGCAUAUAUCCAUUCUUUGCACAAGUAGUCAUGGAAGCAUAUUUCUUCCUCCAUCCCUAUGUCCUUCCUUCCCUCUUAAACAUCCCUCUCCCAUCACACCCUCUUUAUCACAACCACUUUAUCCCAUUUUAUACUUUACAUGCUCCUCACCAUUUUUUAUCCUCCCACUUCUUCCAUUCUCCCAGUUAGAGCAUCUAAAUCAAACUCUUAAAAGCCAUGCAUGGUAUAAAUGUAGACCAGUAGAAUAUAAAAAAUGAAGUCAUUAUUAAGCAGUCUAAAAUGCUCCCAUGCACAUAUACUCUUCCAGUUAGAGCAUCUAAACCAAACUCUUAAAAU
This 467-nucleotide unclassified non-coding RNA is filed under the name Hevea brasiliensis (rubber tree). The record is from RNAcentral. Lineage: Eukaryota; Viridiplantae; Streptophyta; Magnoliopsida; Malpighiales; Euphorbiaceae.